AGGGUUGCCAAACCGUAAGGUGGAGCUAAUCCCUUAAAGCUACUCUCAGUUCGGAUUGUAGGCUGAAACUCGCCUACAUGAAGCUGGAGUUACUAGUAAUCGCAGAUCAGAAUGCUGCGGUGAAUGCGUUCCCGGGUCUUGUACACACCGCCCGUCACACCACGGGAGUUGGAGACGCCCGAAGCCGAUUAUCUAACCUUUUGGAAGAAGUCGUCGAAGGUGGAAUCAAUAACUGGGGUGAAGUCGUAACAAGGUAGCCGUAUCGGAAGGUGCGGCUGGAUC
Molecule: ribosomal RNA, 282 nt
Filed under: Clostridioides difficile
Lineage: Bacteria; Bacillati; Bacillota; Clostridia; Peptostreptococcales; Peptostreptococcaceae
Description: partial 16S ribosomal RNA
Rfam family: Bacterial small subunit ribosomal RNA
Source: RNAcentral